This 253-nucleotide ribosomal RNA is filed under the name uncultured bacterium. RNAcentral describes it as "partial 16S ribosomal RNA". It matches the Rfam family "Bacterial small subunit ribosomal RNA", at positions 524 to 776 of the family's 1533-position model. The record is from RNAcentral.
UACGAAGGGUGCAAGCGUUACUCGGAAUUACUGGGCGUAAAGCGUGCGUAGGCGGUUCGUUAAGUCUGACGUGAAAUCCCCGGGCUCAACCUGGGACGUGCGUUGGAAACUGGCGAUCUAGAGUACGGUAGAGGGUUGUGGAAUUCCCGGUGUAGCAGUGAAAUGCGUAGAGAUCGGGAGGAACACUCGUGGCGAAGGCGGCCACCUGGACCAGUACUCACGCUGAGGCACGAAAGCGUGGGGAGCAAACAGG